Chlorocebus sabaeus (green monkey) is the source of this 3851-nucleotide long non-coding RNA. RefSeq lists it as uncharacterized. The record is from RefSeq and is a predicted model, not a curated record. Lineage: Eukaryota; Metazoa; Chordata; Mammalia; Primates; Cercopithecidae.
GAUUUGAGUGGGAACACAACCACACCAUAUCAACAUACAAUGGAAUAUUAUUCAACUUUAAAAAAUUAAAUUCUGACAUACCCUACAACAUGAAUAUGAAAUGAGGACAUUGUAUUAAAUGGAAUAAGUCAGUUACAAAAAGACAAAUACUGUAUGAUUGCACUUAUAUGAGAUACUGAAAGUAGUCAAAAUCAUACAGAAAGUAGAAUAGUGGUUGCCAGGGCAUGCAGAGAGCAGGGAAUGUGGAGUUAUUAUUUAAUAGGUGUAGAGUUUCCGUUUUAUAAGAUGAAAAGAGUUAUGGAGAUGGCUGGUAGUGAUGGUUGCAUAACAUUAGGAGAGUGCUUAGUAACACUGAACUGUACACUUAAAAUGGUUAAGAUGGUAAAUUUUAUGUUUGUAUAUUCUAUCACAAGGAAAAAAGAAGUGUGUAUGUGCCUAGCAUAUAGCAAGCACUCACUAAUAUUAAUGUAUUAAUAUAAUGGUCACUGAGAACAAAUAAACCAAAGACCAUCAGUGGCUUAAAUAAGGCAAGUUUAUUUCAUAUUCAAGUAACAGAGUAUGUUUCUGGCCGGGUGCCCUCUACCUAGUCGUUCCAGGCCCAGGUGACUUCCAUUUUUUGCUUCUUGCUCCUCUAUGGCUAUAGACAUUUUUUCAUUUGCACAGAGUGUAGAGAAAGAAAGAGAAUAAAGGAUUACAUGGGAACAUUCUAUGGGCCAGCCUAAGAAAUGGCUCAUAUUAUUAUUGGUGAGAACCCAGUUACAUAUCUAUGUCUAACAACAAGGGAAGCAGAGGAAUAUAGGCUAAGUAUGUGCCUAGAAAGUAGACAGAGAAAUUGUGCAACAUAUUGCAAUCUGUAUUAGCAAUAUGGCAACGUACAUUAGAAACACAGUCAUCUCUCCUACCAUUGGCUGUUACCUUACUUAGUCCUCAUAACGAGUCUGGUAAGGUAAGAGAGAAAAUGACUAGUUCAGGGACAUCCUGCAAGUAAGAGGGUUUCAUUAUAGCAAACAAAAUGUGUAUACAACAGCUACUAGAGCAGUGCUUUUCAGUUCUCUGUUCAGCUUAAAACUUUUCUUGGUUGAUUGCUAACCUAAUUACCAUCAACACAGUGCCUUCUUGAAGCUCCCAGAGACUUCAAGCAGGGAGAAGAAGACUGUCAGCUGCCCCGCCGGCUGCUUGUACUUCUUAUUCUUUCAGUAACGUCUUUCUUCUUUCAGUAACCAUAAAACUUUAAGGAAGUUCAGAAUUGUUCCUCAUAAGAAAGUGCUUAGAGACUGCUGCACUGGAAUUCAAUGCCCCUAUUAUCAUAAAUUUAAUAUCCACACUUACUUUUAGUCCUAGGGGCCUAUGAGGCUAUAAAAGAAAGAUUGGCAGAUAGAGUAGACACAAUCGGCUUAUACACAUUUUGCAGAAACACUGAAGCCCACAGAAUUUCCUCUACAUUUCAUUUAGUACCUUCUUCUGUCAAGUUUGUCUCCAUUUUGCCUGUACUUCAUUUUAUUUUUAUAAUAGAGAGCUCUCAUACUUGUUAUCUCUGAGUAUGUUAACAGUCUCUUUUGAGUAAAACAUUGCCCAUAUUGCAUUUUCGUGGAUAACUAAGUAUUCACCUACUGGACCAAUCAUCUGUUGAAAUCUGUAUUUUCUUGAAUUCAGUUCAUAUCGUACUCUUGAGUCUGUGUCACUUUGCUCAAACUUUGCAUCACAUCCAAGCUAUCUUUUGGAAAGGAGACUGAAUUUUUGAGUUUGGUAGCCUUAGAGAAAGAAGGCUGCAGAUGGAUGUGUGAGGUAUGAAUGGUGACUUAUCUAGUUACUAGAAGCAAGGUCAUAUUGUAAUUCAAUUCAGUAAGGACCCGCUGGAGCUAUAAAGAGCCUUAGAGAUGAUCUGGCUCAACCCUUUCAUUUUAUAGAUGAGCAAACUGAAAUCUCAAGAAGGCCAACACGUCCACGUACUUCAGAGCAUCUUGGAAAUUUGACUGUAUUUAAAUCCUUAUCCAAGGUCCCACUGCUGGUUAAUAGGAGAGCUGGGCUAAAAUCUCGUUUUCUUGAUUUUUCUCUUAUCUUAGUGUAACUUUAAUUAGGAUCCUCAGGCCUUCCGGAAGUUCAUGGGAUAUACUUUUAAGAGUCUGCGACUUUGCUAUAUAUGAACCUCAAAGCACGGAUAACAAAAGCAAAAGUAUAUGAAUAGGAUUACAUUAAACUAAAAAGCUUUUUCACAGCCAAGGAAAUAACCAACAGAGUGAAUAAACAGCCUACAGAAUGGGAGAACAUAUAUGUCUCAUACAUACCAUACAUCUGAUAAUGGGUUAAUAUCAAAAAUAUAUAAAUAAACAGUUCAAUAGUAAGAAAAUAACCUGAUUACAAAAUGAGCAAAAUAUCUGAAUAGACAUUUCUCAAAAGAAUAUGUUCAAGUGACCAACAAGUGUAUGUCGAUUUUUAAAAAAUUCUCAAAAUCACAAAUUAUCAGAGAAAUGCAAAUCAAAACCACAAUGAGCUAUCACUUCACACCUGUUGCAGUAGCUAUUAUCAAAAGAUGAAAGAAAACUUUGGCAAGGAUGUGUAGAAAAGAGAAUAUAUAUAUAUGUUUGGGGAGAGAGAGCUCUGAACCGAAGUCAGAAGAUUUGAGUGUGUCACUUGCCAGCCGUGUACCUCUCAAUGUGCCAUUGACAGUCUCUCAGCUUUCACAUGCUCCCUGAGAAGUCAGAGUGAAAACAUCCAUCUGGCCUGCCUCGUCAGUUUCCAGAUCAAAUCAAACUGUUCAGGGAAGUACUUUGCAAAUGGUGGAAUGUGUAGACCAUUUUAUCAUGAUGCUGGGAUAGUGGAAGGCUCUGUGAGUGGUGGGCUUCCAGAAUGGGGUUCCCACAGACUGUGGCAGCCUGUGCCAUGUGGAUGAUGUCUAGUGUAGAAUAUACCAGCCAACUGCACCUGCUCCCUUUCACUUCAGUGCCUGAGAAGAAAACAGAACUGCCAGCAGUCCAUGGGACAAAUGACUAAAUGCCCUCCAGACAGUUCAGAGUCCUCUGCCUUUCAGACUUCGGUUCUUCCUGAAGGAAUCUCAGUCUGGAAAGCAGGAAGAAAUUUGUUAUGGAAUUUUUCCAUCACAGACAUGAAAAUACUAUAUGUAACUCCUAAGGAUUGUGUAUAACAGAGAUACCAGGACACUCUGCAUCCCUAAGUCUCCCUUGUGCCGUUGCUGCAGGCAAGACUCAGGAGCCACAGGAGGUUCAGGGAGAGCACGAGAGUCGAGAAUGGCUAUAAGCAUCUUGAAGGCAGAGAUUAUAUCUCAUUCAAUCUUCUAUCUCAAGUAUCUACUGCAAGACCAAGCAAAUGAGUCUUGCUCUGUCGCCCAGACUGGAGUGCGGUGGCACAAUCUCGGCUCACUGCAGGCUUCACCGCUCGGGUUCAUGCCAUUCUCCUGCCUCAGCCUCCUGAGUAGCUGGGAGUAGAUGACUUAUUCCGAAAGGAUUUUCUCAGCCUUUCAGCAAGACUAGACAUUCUACUGCCUUUUCUCAUCUCCCCAUUGUAAGCUUUUGCUGUGUGACUCCUUGAGAAAUAUCCAAAUUCUCAAUGACUCCUUUUAAGUUAAAGUGUUUACUUAACAGCGAAUGAUCAAUGUUGAGCUAAACAGGGAAGAAAUCAUCUGUAUAGUUACAUUUCUUUAUAUCUCCCAGCACAUGUUUGCCUAUUUUAAAUGCUAACGUGGCAAGCUAUGUUGGAUAAGCAUUCUGGGGUGUCCAUGUGUUCAUUAUUUUGCAGCAUAAAAUGGAGAUACUCAAUCUUUGAAAAUUGCUUUCUGAGUUUGGAUACUGUAUCGUGUCUUGUAACUCAUAUUUGUUCUCAAUAAAAAGGCAUUA